AACAAAAAGGCACAUCAAGUGCUGGUGACGACCAACAAGAAUAAGAGCAGCAAGUCGAAUGCAAUGAAUCGCAAAGUUGAUGGAGGUUUUGGACAAAGGUUAAGAGUGUUUGACACUUGCCUGAUCUGUUGUGGUUAUGUGCCUGUGACAUCUCUUUUGGUCACUUGAGUGGUCAGCCGCUUCCAAAGUCCUUGCUGUGAUUCAUCCUCCCAAGACAAUUGCAGAUGAUCACAUUUGGGGUGAGGUAGAGGUAAGACCAAAAAGCCAAGACCCUGCAUUCUCAGAGAUUUCUUGGUCUCUAGGGUGCACAAGCUUCCCUAAGGAUUCACUCCCAGGACACAGUUAAUUGGGAGAAGAUUACUUGGCUUCCUCCCACAACAGAGUUCUGCUGGAUCAGGAAAACCUGCAAAGCAAAUUCAACAGGACUUCAACUUAUUACUUCGUGCAUAUUACAUCUGUUUAAGGAAAAUCUCUAAGCAUGUUGUAGGCAGUUAGCAGCGAGAUUGACAAAUUCUUAAAAAAUAAAUUUUUUAUGCCUUCCUUCCAUGGCAUAGUGGGUUAAGAAUCCAACUAUAGUGGCUUGGGUUUCUGUGGAGGCGUAGGUUCGAUCCCCAGUGCAGUGGGUUACAGGGUCAGUAUUGCUGUAGCUGAGGCAUGGGUCGAGGCUGCAACUGGAUUCAAACCUUGGCCUGGGAACUUCCAUAUGCUGUGGGUGCAGCCAUUAAAAAAACAAACAAAAAAACCUGUUGAUUUAAAAUAAUAAUAAUAAUAAUAAUAAUUUUUACUUAGAGAAAAUGAACCCGAAUAUAUUGGAUUAAAGGAGUCCAGCUGACCUGAAUAAAUACAUUUUUGACAGAAAAGAGAUAAAAAUGAAAAUUAAUUGUGCCUAUUCUGCUCUUCUGAGAUGACAAAGGCAUCAGAAAUUUAAAAUCCCAGAGGGAAUAGCUCCCUUUUGGCUCAGCAGGUUAAGGAUCUGGUAUUGACACUGGCUCUGGUCACUGCUGUGGCUCAGGUCACUGCUGUGGCCCAGGUUCAGUCCCUGGGCCUGGGAACUUCUACGUGCUACAGGCAUGGCCAAAAUAAUAAUAAUAAUAGUAAUAAUUUAGGAAUUCCCCUGUAGCACAGCAAGUUAAAGAUCCAGUGUUGUCACUGCAGAGGCUCAGGUUGCUGCUGUGGCUUGGAUUCAAUCCCUGGCCCAGGAGUUUCCACAUGUCAUGGGCAGGGCCAAAAAAAUUUGAUAAAAGAAAAAGAAACUAACCUGCUAGGUCCUAAAAAAAAAAAAAACCACUUACUCCAAGUGCCUGCCUGCCAAGGGAAACUAAGCAGUCUGAGAAAACUCUUCAAAGACUGUCAAGCAGGAGCACCUUAGGCCUUUGAAACUUAGGAUGAAUCUUAUUACAAGCUUUGGGGGUCAUUUCUAAGGAAUUAAUGUAUUUACUGAUCCAUUAAAUGUUGGAAAAAGCCAGAAAUAGGCCUUUUCUUUCAGAUAUGCAGGAAACAAGUCAAUAAAAACCACUGGUUUGGGUUCUGUAAGAUUGCAUUGCAUGUCAAAAGCUUGGUUAGGAUAAAAGUGAACUAAACAAUAACAUUAAUAAUAAGAAUAGCUUAACUUUGAGUAUUUAUUAUAUGCCAAACACUCUUCUAAGUAUCUUUCUAACUCAAUCCUAGGAAAAAGACCAAUAAGGUUGAUACUAUUCCUAUUUAGCAAAUAAGGACCCAGAGAGAUGAAGCACUUGCCCAGAAUCACAGUUAGUGGAUGGUUUUGAACCUAGGCAGCUCAGCUCCUGAGUCUGCUUCAUAGAGAGGGCAAAGAAAUGAUGUUACUGUGUUUGGUUCACUUUAAAGAGGCUUUUCUUGUCUAUUUAAAACUCACUCAUGCGGGGCGCAUGUUGACUCAUAACAACGGAACUUACCAAGUCAAGUCUGGAAUUUGUCUGCCAGGAAGUUUAACCUCACAUGGGAGUCAGGCAGCAUUGUUGAGUGAAAAGAGCACUCAUUUCAUGGGAUCUGUAUUACCUUUUCUACCUACCAAGUAGUUCAACACAGUUCAGGCCCUUCAAGGAGGGUCAGUUGCACUGGCCUGAGAACUGCUAUGGUGUCUCCAGCCCACAGGACUCAGGGACAUCGAGGUGAUCAUAGUAUUUCUCAUAAAGGCGAGUCAGAAAACCCAAGAUGCUCUCACUCAUCUUGUGACUCCCUGGAAGUCCUAAAGGCCAUUCUCAAACUUUUAGGAGGGAGAUGAUCAUAUUCUUAUCUAUUUAGUAAGCACGCACAGUAACUAGCUGGGCAUAUCUGAUGAACACAGGGAACUAUAUCUAGUCACUUGCAAUGGAACAUGAUGGAGGAUAAUGUGAGAAAAAGAAUGUACAUCUGUGUGUGUGUGUGUGUGUGUAACUGGAUCUCUUUGCUGCAGCAGAAAUUGACACGACAUUGUAAAUCCACUAUAAUAAAAAUUUUUUUUAAAAAAUUAGGGGCAUAUCAGUUCCCAUCGUAGUGCAGCAGCAAUGAAUCCAACUAGGAACAAUGAGGUUGGGGGUUCGAUCCCUGGCCUCGCUCAGUGUUGCUAAGAAACUAUGGACAAGAAUAAGAUAUGUAGUCACUUUACAGCAGGCAUACAUUUCUGUCUACCUUUAGGUCACAAGAUUUGUCUGCAGUAUUGUAAAUAUUACAAUAACUAAAAGUUUCAGAUUAAUAGCAUUUUUACUGAACUAAAUUAGAUACCUUGGGGUACAGCUCUUUUAAAUGGCAUUCCAUCAAAACUCAAUCUUCUGUUUCCCUCCAUUUUUUCCUAGCUCUUCUCUUUUCUUCCUAACACUUAAAUGUGAAAAGAAAAAGGAAAAUGUGCACAUCAGAAAAGAGCAGAAAAAAGAAAAAAAAAAAAAAGAUUUUGUUUGUCAGUUGCUUUGUUUUACAUUUUAUUUUCCCAGCUCUUUGUCCUUUUCCUUCUCAGUUUUGAAACAAGCCUCUCUCCCCAUCUACUCUCACACCCUUUGCAGACAGCAGAACUCAAACUUCACUUCUGCUUUUCAGGUCUUAAAGAGAAAGGGGAAAAGGUAGAAAAGUGACCAACCGAGAGGUAUAAAAGAGUUUCUUAUUUCAAAAUUCCCACGUUCUGCCAACUUUAAAAUACCUUUCUUCGCUUCAAAGGUCCCCAGAUCGUCACAGUAUUUAAGCCACAGUAUUUAAAGAGGUAUCGUGUUGCUUACAGUUCUUCAAUCUGCAUUGGGUGUCUCUGGCCUCCCUGAGCCAGGCACCAGCCUCUUAAAAAGUCCUUGCAGUAGGUUAACUAACAGGCUGGAGUUUUCUUAAGGAUGAACGCUCCUUCAACAGCCCGGAACGUUACUUCGCCGCUGAAUCUUCCCGGGGCAUCAUGUAACAACCCUCUGUUCGCGGCGAGAGCCAGCCGAUCUCCAGGGGUCCCGGCGCCCCUCAAUCUCCCUCACUCCCUGUUGGCACGGAAAGUGACGGAGGUCAUGGAGCGCUCCUCGGUCAGCGUAGUCAGGGAACCCUUCGCCCACGCGACCUGCAGGACUUCUUGUGUCAUCUCAUAAUCCACGACCCGCACGAGGAAGGGUUUGGGGGGCUCCCCUGGCGGAGCUCGAGAGGGAGCGUCUACACGGCUGCCAGAAAUUCGCUUUUCCGGUGGAAAGAGAGAAGGCCAGUCCGAUUCCCGAUCUUGUCCUCCCGCUUCGAAAAGCUCGUCCUCACCGGCCACCUCUUCCCCGGCGGGGUCCCCCCGAGUGCCCAACCACCUCUCCGGGUGCAGAAGAAAGAGCACUUUCUCUCGGACCCAGGACUCACAGUCCGCAUUCUUCCCGGCCUCGUGGUCGGCUCGGGCGCCGCCCCGGCUGCCGCUCGCCCCC
This 3863-nucleotide long non-coding RNA is filed under the name Sus scrofa (pig). RNAcentral's name for it is "lncRNA (ENSSSCG00025041129.1)". Lineage: Eukaryota; Metazoa; Chordata; Mammalia; Artiodactyla; Suidae. The record is from RNAcentral.